UAGUUCAACCUUAAAUUACCCCCCCCCCCCCCAAGGAAGCCCCACAUUUAAACGUUAUUCAAAUAAGGUACAGCUUAUUUGAUACAGGAUACAACCUAAAACACAGGGUAAUGCACACCAUAAGUGCUUAAGUAGGCCUAAAAGCAGCCACCUUAAAGACAGCGUCAAAGCUCAACCACAAUAAAACACUAAUCCCCCAAGUAAUACAGAACCCUUUAAUAGUAUUGAGUGAUUCUAUGCCCCAUAGAAGACCCCAUGCUAGAACUAGUAACAAGAAUAAGACCUUCUCUUAAAUGCCAACGUAAAUCAGAACAGACACACUACUGAUAAUUAACACCCAUGAGCUAACAGUAAUAACCCCGCAAGAAAAUCUUACUACAACUAACGUUAACCUAACACAAGAGCAUUCAAAGAAAGAUUUAAAGAAUUGGAAGGAACUCGGCAAACAUUAACCUCGCCUGUUUACCAAAAACAUCGCCUCUUGCAUAAAUAAGAGGUCCAGCCUGCCCAGUGACUCUGUUCAACGGCCGCGGUAUUCUGACCGUGCGAAGGUAGCGUAAUCACUUGUUCUUUAAAUAAGGACUGGUAUGAAUGGCACCACGAGGGUUAUACUGUCUCCCAUUUCUAAUCAGUGAAACUAAUCUCCCCGUGAAGAAGCGGGGAUCCUACUAUAAGACGAGAAGACCCCAUGGAGCUUAAAACAAAUGGCACUUGCUAACCCCAGUUAAGCACUCUGACCAUUAGUUUUCGGUUGGGGCGACCGCGGAGAAAAACUAAUCCUCCACAUUGAAAGGAGCCUACUCCUAAACUCAAAGUUACCACUUAACGUAUCAAAACCUUGACACCCAUUGACCCAAUAAACUUGAUCAACGAACCAAGUUACCCUGGGGAUAACAGCGCAAUCCAUUUCAAGAGCUCCUAUCGACAAAUGGGUUUACGACCUCGAUGUUGGAUCAGGGUUUCCUAGUGGUGCAGCCGCUACUAACGGUUCGUUUGUUCAACGAUUAAAACCCU
Molecule: ribosomal RNA, 1014 nt
Filed under: Mixophyes carbinensis
Lineage: Eukaryota; Metazoa; Chordata; Amphibia; Anura; Limnodynastidae
Description: partial 16S ribosomal RNA
Rfam family: Bacterial large subunit ribosomal RNA
Source: RNAcentral